RNAcentral lists this long non-coding RNA (1154 nucleotides) under Sorghum bicolor (sorghum). RNAcentral's name for it is "long non-coding RNA (SBIC_LNC013149)". Lineage: Eukaryota; Viridiplantae; Streptophyta; Magnoliopsida; Poales; Poaceae. The record is from RNAcentral.
AAGCCAAACCCUCAGCGGGUGCCGCACAUCCACUCACAAGAUGGGGAUCCUCCAAGCCACGAGCAAUCCACUAGAGUAGCCAAUUGCGAUCUCCCGUGGGGAAGGCUCAAGAACCCCUCACAAAUCACUUGGUGAGGCUCGAAACAAUCUCCAAUCACGAGCUCAACACCACCGCUGCUCCAAGCCGUCUAGGGCGUCGGGAAACACCCAAGAGUAACAAGAAAUCCGCAGCAAACUCAAGAAUCAAGUGCCACUAAAUGCAACUCUCAAAGCAAUGCACUUGAAUCUCACUCAAUCUCACUAGAAUUAGCAAUCAAGCAAGGAGAUGAGUGGAGGGAGUGUUCUCUAGCUCAAAGUACGCCUCAAGUACUCAAAAGUGCAAGAGAGAACCCCCCAAAGCUGGCCACCAACUAUUUAUAAGCACCCAUAAAAAACUAGUCGUUGGCUGAAAACACUGGGCUGCAGUCGACCACACCGGACGCGUCCUAGUUCACACCGGACGCGUCCGGUAUUGACCAGACCAGCGUCCGGUGCUUUUGACCGGAAAUAUAAAAAUAAAUAUAAUAUCAUUGAUAUUUGGUCCGUUUUCAUUCCUACUUGUGGCACUCACAGUGAAAGGGUAAAUUCUUUUUUGGUGGAAUACAGUGUAAAGGCAAUUACCAAGUUAUAAAACGCCAUAAGCUAAACGAACGGGCUAUGAUUAAAAAAAAAAAAACCGUACAAGCUAAUCGCCCAAUUCAAAAGGCACAAGCCACCCCCGCUUGGUUUUACUUCACGACACGCUCUGCCGCUGGUCCCUCCUACUAAAUGGUGUUAGUUUUAAAAAAAUGGUGUUCAUUCAGUGUAAUUAAGGAGGUGACAGGCCUAGCUGACAGAGACGAGGACGAGACGUACCGUUGCGCUGUGAUAAUAAUAACGUGAGUACGUAGUACAUUGUUUCGAAAAAAGAGUAAGCGGCCUUGUUCACUCAAAAAUCAAAAACUUUUUCAAGAUUCUUUAUCAUAUCGAAUUUUAUGACAUAUGCAUCAAGCAUUAAAUAUAGAUAAAAAUAAAAAUUAAUUGUAAAAUUUAUCUGUAAAUCACGAUAUGAAUUUUUUAAAUCUAGUUAUUUUAUAAUUAAACAAUAUUUAUCAAAUAAAAAUGAAAGUACUACG